UGUGAGUGUGUAAGAGCGCAUGGUGGAUGCCUUGGCAUCAGGAGCCGAUGAAGGACGUGGAAAUCUGCGAUAAGCCUCGGGGAGCCGAUAAACGGGCUGUGAUCCGAGGAUGUCCGAAUGGGGGAACCCCGCCGCAUGCGAGUGCGGUGACCCGCACCUGAAUAUAUAGGGUGUGUGGAGGGAACGCGGGGAAGUGAAACAUCUCAGUACCCGUAGGAAGAGAAAAUAAGAAUGAUUCCGGGAGUAGUGGCGAGCGAAACUGGAUGAGCCUAAACCGUGUGCGUGUCAAGCGUGCUGGUGUUGCGUACAUGGUGUUGUGGGGUGUGUGUGUUCGGUUCAGCAUGACCGAGACGCUGAUGAGUGCUUACGUGUAGUCGAAGCUGGUGGGAAACAGUACCGGAGUGGGUGAGAGUCCCGUAGACGAAACGCGUGGCCCCGGUGUGACACGUGUCCCCGAGUAGCACGGAACUCGUGGAAUUCCGUGUGAAUCUGCCAGGACCACCUGGUAAGGCUAAAUACUUCCUGAUGACCGAUAGCGGAUCAGUACCGUGAGGGAAUGGUGAAAAGUACCCCGGGAGGGGAGUGAAAGAGUACCUGAAACCAUGUGCUUACAAUCCGUCAGAGCACCCGUGUUGGUGUGAUGGCGUGCCUUUUGAAGAAUGAGCCUGCGAGUUAGCGGUGCGUGGCGAGGUUAAC
This 696-nucleotide ribosomal RNA is filed under the name Burkholderia multivorans. RNAcentral's name for it is "bacterial LSU rRNA". It matches the Rfam family "Bacterial large subunit ribosomal RNA", at positions 1 to 650 of the family's 2925-position model. Lineage: Bacteria; Pseudomonadati; Pseudomonadota; Betaproteobacteria; Burkholderiales; Burkholderiaceae. The record is from RNAcentral.